UACGGGGGGGGCAAGCGUUGUUCGGAAUUACUGGGCGUAAAGGGCGCGUAGGCGGCCAGUUCAAGUCGGGUGUCAAAUCUCGAGGCUUAACCUCGAGUUGUCGCUCGAUACUGAUCGGCUAGAGUGUGGAAGAGGGUGCUGGAAUUCCCGGUGUAGCGGUGAAAUGCGUAGAGAUGUGGAGGAACACCAGUGGCGAAGGCGGCUCUCUGGACUGUAACUGACGCUGAGGCGCGAAAGCGUGGGGAGCAAACAGG
RNAcentral lists this ribosomal RNA (254 nucleotides) under uncultured bacterium. Its description in RNAcentral is "partial 16S ribosomal RNA". It matches the Rfam family "Bacterial small subunit ribosomal RNA", at positions 524 to 776 of the family's 1533-position model. The record is from RNAcentral.